GUUGAGGUCUACCCCAAUGGGGUUUUUUCUGUAACCCACAUUGUUGGAAACGCCUCAUAGCGUGUAUGUGUGGGUUCCUUUAGUCACAGAACUAUAUGUUAGAUCUGUGGGAAAGAACUACAGGAUAUCU
This is a small nucleolar RNA of Ursus americanus (American black bear), 130 nucleotides long. NCBI's taxonomy places the organism in Eukaryota, Metazoa, Chordata, Mammalia, Carnivora, Ursidae. The record is from Ensembl.